RNAcentral lists this ribosomal RNA (809 nucleotides) under uncultured bacterium. RNAcentral's name for it is "bacterial SSU rRNA". It matches the Rfam family "Bacterial small subunit ribosomal RNA", at positions 60 to 864 of the family's 1533-position model. The record is from RNAcentral.
AGUCGAGCGGUAGAGAGAGGCUUGCUUCUCUUGAGAGCGGCGGACGGGUGAGUAAUGCCUAGGAAUCUGCCUAGUGGUGGGGGAUAACGUUCGGAAACGGACGCUAAUACCGCAUACGUCCUACGGGAGAAAGCGGGGGACCUUCGGGCCUCGCGCCAUUAGAUGAGCCUAGGUCGGAUUAGCUAGUUGGUGAGGUAAAGGCUCACCAAGGCGACGAUCCGUAACUGGUCUGAGAGGAUGAUCAGUCACACUGGAACUGAGACACGGUCCAGACUCCUACGGGAGGCAGCAGUGGGGAAUAUUGGACAAUGGGGGAAACCCUGAUCCAGCCAUGCCGCGUGUGUGAAGAAGGUCUUCGGAUUGUAAAGCACUUUAAGUUGGGAGGAAGGGUAGUAACUUAAUACGUUGCUACUUUGACGUUACCGACAGAAUAAGCACCGGCUAACUCUGUGCCAGCAGCCGCGGUAAUACAGAGGGUGCAAGCGUUAAUCGGAAUUACUGGGCGUAAAGCGCGCGUAGGUGGUUUGUUAAGUUGGAUGUGAAAGCCCCGGGCUCAACCUGGGAACUGCAUCCAAAACUGGCAGGCUAGAGUACGGUAGAGGGUGGUGGAAUUUCCUGUGUAGCGGUGAAAUGCGUAGAUAUAGGAAGGAACACCAGUGGCGAAGGCGACCACCUGGACUGAUACUGACACUGAGGUGCGGAAGCGUGGGGAGCAAACAGGAUUAGAUACCCUGGUAGUCCACGCCGUAAACGAUGUCAACUAGCCGUUGGGUUCCUUGAGAACUUAGUGGCGCAGCUAACGCAUUAAG